Molecule: long non-coding RNA, 495 nt
Organism: Trifolium pratense (red clover)
Lineage: Eukaryota; Viridiplantae; Streptophyta; Magnoliopsida; Fabales; Fabaceae
Exons: 2
Source: RefSeq, a predicted model, not a curated record
UGCUUUUUAAGCCCCAUGGAUUGCUCUCAAACCCCCCUAAAAUCCCAAAAUACCCUCGCAAUUGAAACCAGUUUCGUUUGGUAAAUACAACCCGAAAGCAAUUGCGUUCGGUAAAUACGUGACGAACACGCUUGGGUUCGGUAAUUACGUGACGAACACGCUGUGGUUCGGUACAUACGUGCCGAACGGACGUGAGAUACAGUUUUAAACACAAAACAUCUCAUUAGUUACGAUAAUCACAAGUGUUGAAGGUGGAAGGGCGAUUCUCUAGGGUUUAGGGUCGCAAAUUCGAAGGCAAGAAAGAAGAACAAGGUGAAAUUCGUUGACAACAAAUCAUUCAUCACCAACGGUUUGGAUUGCGUUUUUGGAUUCUUUCACUUCAACAAGAAUGACAGAUGAUGUUGGGCGAACAAGAGGUGGAAGGGAAAGUAGAGCACAUGGCUCUGCACGAAGAGAGGCUGCGAAGGGCUCUGCACGAAGAGAGGCUGCGAAGGG